Molecule: long non-coding RNA, 480 nt
Filed under: Homo sapiens (human)
Lineage: Eukaryota; Metazoa; Chordata; Mammalia; Primates; Hominidae
Description: non-protein coding lnc-C16orf78-5:4
Source: RNAcentral
UUAGGUGAGAACCCUUUGUUAAGCUGUGUAACCUCUGUGCAUAGUUUCCUCAUCAGCAAAGUCAGAAAAAGUAUGUACCUGAAGGACUGAUUGUAAGGCUGGGAUGAGAGAAUCCAUGUGAUCAGCCCUCACCAACAGGUGCUGCCCAGUUCAUGAGUGCUGCUGCUGUCCUGCCCAAGUACCCAGCUUGCAGAGUGCCAGAGUUAGAGUCCCAGGGGUGUUCUCCACAGCUGCAUGCUUGAUCCAGGCCUAUCAGGUGUUAUUUGUUGACGGAACCAGGCAUCAUCAGCAAACAAAACUGACAAAGCUUCCUGCCCUCUGUGGAAGGCAUCUGAGGAAGAGACUGGAUUUUGUAGCAACAUGUUAUUCUCAUUAUAAACUUUAUCAUUGGAAUACUAAAGCCAAAUCAUCCCCCAUCUCCUUGAUCAGGAUACCCACUUAAUCUAGGCAGCUACACAAUUGUGAGAGCCUUUGUUUUUU